GUGCCAGCCGCCGCGGUAAGACGAACCGUGCGAACGUUGUUCGGAAACACUGGGCUUAAAGGGCGCGUAGGCGGUUUCCCACGUCCGGGGUGAAAGCUUUCGGCUUAACCGGAAAAGGGCCUUGGAUACGGGGAAACUCGAGGGAGGUAGGGGCAGGUGGAACUUCCGGUGGAGCGGUGAAAUGCGUUGAUAUCGGAAGGAACGCCGGUGGCGAAAGCGACCUGCUGGACCUCUACUGACGCUGAGGCGCGAAAGCCAGGGGAGCAAACGGGAUUAGAUACCCCGGUAGUCCUGGCCCUAAACGAUGGGUACUAGGUAGUGGACUUAACAUGGGUUCCCUGCCGAAGCUAAAGUGGUAAGUACCCCGCCUGGGGAGUAUGGUCGCAAGGCUGAAACUCAAAGGAAUUGACGGGGGCUCACACAAGCGGUGGAGCAUGUGGCUUAAUUCGAGGCUACGCGAAGAACCUUAUCCUGGACUUGACAUGUGCGAAAGCGUC
This 497-nucleotide ribosomal RNA is filed under the name uncultured bacterium. RNAcentral's name for it is "bacterial SSU rRNA". It matches the Rfam family "Bacterial small subunit ribosomal RNA", at positions 505 to 1000 of the family's 1533-position model. The record is from RNAcentral.